GAGAAGAGACGUCAGUUAUGAAGAGGU
Molecule: non-coding RNA, 27 nt
Filed under: Rattus norvegicus (Norway rat)
Lineage: Eukaryota; Metazoa; Chordata; Mammalia; Rodentia; Muridae
Source: RNAcentral